This 1150-nucleotide long non-coding RNA is filed under the name Homo sapiens (human). Its description in RNAcentral is "HSALNT0401416". Lineage: Eukaryota; Metazoa; Chordata; Mammalia; Primates; Hominidae. The record is from RNAcentral.
GGAAGCUACACCCUAAAGAAGUCAAAGCAGCAAGAUGGAAGUACCCUAAGACCCUGAAAAAUGCACAGAGAAGAAUCACCCGACUGGCUUGAACUUUCAUGUGAAAGGAAUGAACCUCUGUCUUAGUAAAGCCACCGUGAUUCAGGGUCCUUGUGAUAUUCACUGAGGCUGUAACAUAAUUGUUGAAAGAACAGGAGCGGGAGGGGAGAUGGAGUCGGAGAGGCAGGCAGAGGUCAGAUCACAUGGGGCCUGUAGGCCAAGGCGGAGGAAGAAACAGGUGACAUAGGACUCAAGGACCCCACCUGCUCCCAGGCGAAGGGAGUUUGCUGUGGGUGCCCCUCCCUGUCUGUGUGUCCAGUGUAUUCAUAUUCUUCAUACCUUGCCCAUAUUGGACAAAUACUUUUUUCUAUUCAAUAUUUAGAAGACAUUGCAUUAAAUAGCAAGAUGGCAGGUGAACAUCAGGAAGGAACAUUAGGAACAUCCACGGCGUUCCAUCCAGGAACCUUCACCGUGGAAACUCUUGUGCUCAUGGGCGUGGUCUCAAGACACAGUCAGCUGUUGGGGAUCAGAGGCGACACUCAUUGUAGCAGAGAGGCAGGACCAACUGGGAGAGGGUCCUUCUGUGACAACUAUUGCAUCACCGGGCUGUGUGAAGUGACUCAGCUGCCAGAACUCACACAAUAUCAUUCUACACCAAACCUCACGGGAAAAAUGACAGCACCUUGUCUCAUUUGAACAAGACAUCUGGAGCCUGGAGAUCCCAGGGCUGAUAUGGCAACAGUGCGAUGCCCCCCAUGGAUAUGGGGUCGUUCCAUGUUUCUUCCCUGCCUUCCUCAGCAUGUUAACCUUUCAGCUUCACAUCCGCAUCCUCAUGGUCACAAGAUGGCUGACAAGCUCCAGCUCUCCCAUCCCUAGAAAGACUUCAGCUGGCAAAGCAACGCAAAUGGCUGAGCGUCGAGGAUAGAAGUGGCUGAACAGCGAGCAGAGAAGCAACUGAGCAUCGGAGGUUGGAGAUAGAUGCAGCUAACUUCAGAUACUGUGGUUUUAGAGAGGGGCCUGGCCAGAGACGGCUGGGUUCCAGGGACAGACCACCUUCCCAUCCCCUUUCCAGCCUCCCUUUCCACUGAGAGCUGCUCGCUGCUCAAUAAAG